This is a long non-coding RNA of Pipra filicauda (Wire-tailed manakin), 2867 nucleotides long. RefSeq lists it as uncharacterized. Lineage: Eukaryota; Metazoa; Chordata; Aves; Passeriformes; Pipridae. The record is from RefSeq and is a predicted model, not a curated record. The transcript has 7 exons.
AUGAAGGAAGGAGGCGGGGGGGGCGCAUCCACGCACACCCCCUCUCCCCCCAUUUGGCGCACCCCCUGCUCCCGGGAACGUGCAGCCCCCGCGCCCCGCCCGGCCCUGUCAGCGCAGCGGCGGCUCCGCGACCCCCGACGGGGCUCCCGCCGCGCCCCGCACGACUCCCCUCGUCCUCCCCCACGCGUGUGCGGAGCGUGCAGGGACACACUCACCUCACCACUGAGGGUCCCUCUUUUCCUUUAUCCCCCUUCUUUUCCUAUCCCUUCCCCCCCCGCAAAAGAAACCUCAAAAACCCCCAAAAAACAACCCCCAAAAAGCCCAAUAAUUUGCAUACCGUUUGUCACCCUCGCUCAGUAUUCCCCCCCACCCCACCGCUUCUUUUAUCCCCCCCUUCACUCCCGCCCAGACCGACCCUUCUCCCCCACUCCCCCGCAACCCGGGUGCAACCGGAUGGCAAAAAUCAAAGCUGGAUCCAAUUUACCCCAGUUGUCUUCCUUUGAACACUCAUAAGGAGUCUGCCCCUGAUUUUAGUGCAAAGGAGCUGCUCUUUGAAAUGGCGUGUCCAGCUUUGGCGUUUGCCUGCUGAGGAAGAGGCCUGCUCUCUUCUCCACUCUUGCUACAAGGAUUUUUCUCUCUCCAAGUAAUUCCUCAGCAUCGCCUUGAAAGACAUCUGCCACACUAGAUAACUUUUUCAAACCACAAGACUGAAACAACUUCCCUUAAUUGAAAUGACUCCAGAACAGCUAUUCCCUAGAAGACAUCCUCCUUGAUUUCUUGCGGGACCUGUAAGAUGACUGAAGUCGUAGGAUGUCUGAAGUAGAAAAGAGUGCCAGAGACACCACAAAACAUGGAGAAUGUUGUCCUGCUUCUGAGGUUCAGAUAUACAACUCAACCAUGGGCAGCUGAGGAUGGACUUUCUGCCUCCAUAGGUUUCUGUGGACAAAGACAUAAUUUUGAGCUGCCAGCAUCCCCAAAGAUGUCAGAAAUGUCAUUCACCUGUACCUCCUUCCUGAUGAAACAUGCUGGAGCCAUAAAUUUGCAUGCUGUUCAAUCAGGACCACGCACAUGUGCAAGUAGUACCUGACUUCUGCAGUCUCCCAUUUACUGUACCACACACCUCCACGCCAGGUCGGAGGAAGACCCCUUUGAAAAUGAGGCGCUUGAUGAUUGCAGAGGGUAAGGAUCUUGCUCUCAUGUCACAGCUUGGCGUUAUGCCUUCAUCAGGGUAUUAGAAAAGGCUCAGGGAAAAUGGUUACAGUUAUUCUAUUGCCUAAGACACUUCCUGCAGCUACUGCCUUUCCUUAGAAUUACCAAUCCAAGUGGUGACCCUGCCUGACCCUACUUAUCUUGUAAAAGCUGACAAGAUCACAGCCUGAAGCAGUAUAGCCACAGGCUCAAUACCGGCUACCAAAAUGUCUGUUUAGUAUUUUCAAGAAAUGCUGCUCUAAAGAUUUACAAUACCAGCUGCUAGAUACACGAACAACACCAGCACACAGCUCUGACCCCUGAACAUUCAGCCCCACUUACACAGAAAUUUGUGUCUCUCAAGAGGCCAACACCGAACUGCUACGAAACAGUGAUUCCCUACCUGCAAGCACACUGGAUUUUUAGCACUAUUUGAUUAUAUAUACUAAGAUAUUAGGUGAAAGUAUUCGAAAACUAGUUUGAGUUCAGAAUUUAUUGUUAGCUUUUUUUCAUCGGUUACAUUACUGCUUUAGCAACAGAAAGAGCUCUGCCAUUUCUGUGUAAUACCUUUUUUUAUUUCAGUGUAGAGAAUUUUCUUCAUCCUUCCAUGACCAAAGUAGUUUUUCAUCAGAAGUUAUUUUUAGAUGAACUCUAAGUUUCUUUCCUAGCAAACAUUUUAGCUGCACUGUAUGAAAGGAAAUGCACAUUUCCCUAGAUAUCUCUAAGGAUAAACACAGGUUUAAAUAUCCAAAAAGAUCUUGGGGAACAAUCUGCUUUAUAUAUAUACAUUCAUGUAGCAGAUGCAGUAAGAGUUCUUGCAGAGUAGUGUGGGUUUUUUUAACCCUUUUCUUUUUAGAACAGCAAAGACAUGGAAAAGACGUUGAGGUCCUGUUGCUCCUGUUGGAAACUUCUGUUGGCUGCAGCAUGAGUUGGAUUGGACCCAGAGAAACUGAAUACACACAAGUAAUGAUGAGUUGGCCAUACAAGCAAGGAAAAUCACAGAUAACAGGUGCACACCAAUUAGCAAUGUACCUUUUAGGUCAUCCAAUACAGCUCCGUGUCACAACGAGAUUGUUUCAUAUGGAACGUUUCAGCUACCUGCAGCCUCAUCCGAUGACGUUUAAUGAUAUCAACUAGCUUGAUCUUCCUCCAUGCACCCAUGCACCAGCAGGGACUUCUUUAAAUUGCUCAACUGUAUGGAACACUGUUUUCAAGUUUAAUGUACUUGGCAUCGACCUUUUAAAGUAAUGGCAUUUCUAAACACAGUUUAAAUACAGUUUAAAUACGUAGCACACACAUAUGUUUGCAUUUAUAUGUGCAUGUGUGUGUACGCCUAUACAUAUAUGUGUAAGUGCACACAUAUGUAUAGAAAUGCUGAUCCUAUUCACCUUUUUAAAAUCAUUACAGCUAGUAUUAACAUGAAUGUGCUGUUAAAUUGGCAGUGUUAUACAUUUUUGUUGGAGUUUACUUCUGUAACAUAAAACCAGAAAGAUAAGCUGUGAAACUCGUGCAGCUGAUGACAUAAUUCUAGAAUCUCAUGAUACUGAAUCUCAUAUUGCUAGGAGUGUGGGAUGGAUGUUCUUUGCUGAAAUAAUUAUACUGUCUCUUGCAAUAUAUGUUUCCUUGUUUUCAUGUGGGUGCUGAGAAGCCCAAACCAUUAAACAUAAAUGGUACAAUGA